AGUGAACGCUGGCGGUAGGCCUAACACAUGCAAGUCGAACGGCAGCACAGUAAGAGCUUGCUCUUACGGGUGGCGAGUGGCGGACGGGUGAGGAAUACAUCGGAAUCUACUUUUUCGUGGGGGAUAACGUAGGGAAACUUACGCUAAUACCGCAUACGACCUACGGGUGAAAGCAGGGGAUCUUCGGACCUUGCGCGAUUGAAUGAGCCGAUGUCGGAUUAGCUAGUUGGCGGGGUAAAGGUCCACCAAGGCGACGAUCCGUAGCUGGUCUGAGAGGAUGAUCAGCCACACUGGAACUGAGACACGGCCCAGACUCCUACGGGAGGCAGCAGUGGGGAAUAUUGGACAAUGGGCGCAAGCCUGAUCCAGCCAUACCGCGUGGGUGAAGAAGGCCUUCGGGUUGUAAAGCCCUUUUGUUGGGAAAGAAAAGCAGCAGGUUAAUACCCCGCUGUUCUGACGGUACCCAAAGAAUAAGCACCGGCUAACUUCGUG
RNAcentral lists this ribosomal RNA (492 nucleotides) under uncultured bacterium. RNAcentral describes it as "partial 16S ribosomal RNA". It matches the Rfam family "Bacterial small subunit ribosomal RNA", at positions 29 to 507 of the family's 1533-position model. The record is from RNAcentral.